Molecule: ribosomal RNA, 253 nt
Filed under: uncultured bacterium
Lineage: Bacteria
Description: partial 16S ribosomal RNA
Rfam family: Bacterial small subunit ribosomal RNA
Source: RNAcentral
UACGUAGGGUGCGAGCGUUGUCCGGAAUUACUGGGCGUAAAGAGCUCGUAGGUGGUUUGUCGCGUUGUUCGUGAAAACUCACAGCUCAACUGUGGGCGUGCGGGCGAUACGGGCAGACUGGAGUACUGCAGGGGAGACUGGAAUUCCUGGUGUAGCGGUGAAAUGCGCAGAUAUCAGGAGGAACACCGGUGGCGAAGGCGGGACUCUGGGCCGAUACUGACGCUGAGGAGCGAAAGCGUGGGGAGCGAACAGG